Fukomys damarensis (Damara mole-rat) is the source of this 1397-nucleotide long non-coding RNA. RefSeq lists it as uncharacterized. The record is from RefSeq and is a predicted model, not a curated record. The transcript is spliced from 3 exons. NCBI's taxonomy places the organism in Eukaryota, Metazoa, Chordata, Mammalia, Rodentia, Bathyergidae.
AAUAGUCAUAAAGAGGAAACAGCAGCAUGGCCCAAGGCAGCACAUGACCAGUCACCGAGGGCGACCCAGAUCCAGGCGAAAGUGCCCAUCUCCCCUACACAAAUGUCGGGCGCUCUUCAUAGUUGAAGAACUACGAAACACAGGAUGCUGGGAACUUUCUCCGGCGCGUGAGGGAGACCCAUGUUUGCAGCCCGAAAGGGAUUAAAGAAGAUACAAAAGACCAUUUGUUCCGGUGGUCGGUCCAGGUAUGAAACACAGCUCAUCCCUAGACACAACGCCGUCCCAUCGGCAGCAAUCCUGCGCCUCACAUCAAAUUCAUCCAUCGCUGCCAGUCCACUUAGUUUCAACACUCUCAGAAAGCACUAAUGGAGCCUGACAUAUAACAAGAGCAAUGAAAGCGAGAGCAAGCCCCAUUCAGACACAAGGCAGCAGUACAGUAGCAAGGAAAGAAGGAACAGGUGGUCAUUUUGUUCCCCAAUAUAGUGCCUGCACCUGACAACUGCCCGUUCUCAGCAAGACCUCGAAGAUCACAUGGGGACAAACGAAGGCCUGAAUGGCUAUGCUUAUAGAACCAAGGAAUGACCGGGACUUGAAAAACUCUGCAACUGAGAUAAAUGUAUGGAGAAGACAGUCCUUUUCCAUUUGUUGCUCUGGGCAGUAGUCCUUGGAGGUGGAGGAGGGAAGUGUGGAGGAGAGGAAGACCAGCUGCCGAAGAAAUCCACCCACCCUCUGUGCUGCUCUCAGAGUCAGGGUGUGCAGACCUCCACGUGGGUCUCCCUAGUUCCUAGCAAAACUGCCCCAUGGUAAGCCUCCCCCUCAGGCAGCUCUCCCGAGUUCUAGGAAUAACCAUUGCUGGGCAUCAAAAGAACAUUGCCAAGGUCUUUCAGACUUCCAAGGCCCCACCUUCCGCUAAUUUCAUUUCCAAAUAUGUCAUUCUUAGUUAAGCACAAGGAUCAUUCCCAAAUGUCUUAACACGCGGCAAAAUGACAUUUACAAAAAUGCUCCUGAACCAAGGAAGAAUUUCUUUCUCAUUCUUUACCUAGUGUUAAGGAAAGUAUCAGGCAUGGCUCCUCCAGCUUUACGUGGAUCAGUCCACUCCCUCCUCCCGGGGAGGUGAGUACUACUGUGAAGUUCAUUUUACAGCAGAGACUUAAACGCCCACGGUCACGCGGCUACAGAAUGAGAGGGGACUGGAAUGUCAACCCCAGAAGGCUGGCCAGUCACAGGGCUUAUGUCACUGUGGUUCAGCCCUCUCGUCCAUCCUGCCCAAGGACAAGUGGGGUCAGAAAGAUUUCCUGUGACGAAUGCCACCUAUUCGUUCAAAGAAGCAGUAGAAAUAUGUCAUUCUCCGACCUGUUCAGGUACAGAGUUAAAAGUUCCAGUAAGAAUGAAAGCAU